CACGGCUAAAUACGUGCCAGCACCCGCGUUAAUACGUAGGUGCCAAGCGUUGUCCGGAUUUAUUGGGUUUAAAGGGUGCGUAGGUGNUCUAUUAAGUCAGUGCUGAAAUAUCCCGGCUUAACCGGGAGGGUGGCAUUGUUACUGAUGGACUUGAGUGAAGUCGAGGUAGGCGGAAUUGACGGUGUAGCGGUGAAAUGCUUAGAUNUCGUCAAGAACACCGAUAGUGUAGACAGCUUACUAGGCUUUAACUGACACUGAGGCACGAAAGUGUGGGGAUCAAACAGGAUUAGAUACCCUGGUAGUCCACACUGUAAACGUUGAUGACUCGCUGUUGGCGAUACACAGUCAGCGGCUGAGAGANAUCGUUAAGUCAUCCAC
This 378-nucleotide ribosomal RNA is filed under the name uncultured bacterium #0319-7K9. Its description in RNAcentral is "bacterial SSU rRNA". It matches the Rfam family "Bacterial small subunit ribosomal RNA", at positions 492 to 872 of the family's 1533-position model. The record is from RNAcentral. Lineage: Bacteria; Pseudomonadati; Bacteroidota.